CUCCUCUCUACCAGCCGAGACCGAGAGAGAGCGCCCGACCCUACCACAGCUGCUGCCUGCUGCUGCUCUGUUCUGCUCUCCCCCUUUUCCACCGUUUCUCUCUCUUCUCACCUCACCUGUUUGGCCGCUUUUCUCCACUCCCCUCUUCCAAUCAGACCAAUCUCCCCGUCUCCCUAAACACGAAUACCAUCCCUCUGCUCCGGUGUUCCGGCUCUCCCACGCACCCCACCCCACCCCACUAGUUUUUGCUUCCUGUUCACUUGUGCCUGCUCUCGCUCGCUGUUGGCCUGUUGCUGUUGCUAUUCCCGUCCCGUGCUUCCCUUCCUCUCACUGGUCGUCUAGUAUCCUCUCUCCCACCUGCCGCUGCCGCCGCCGCCGCCGCCGCCGCCCUGCUCCCACCUGCCGUCCUCUGGUCAAAGCCAGCGGCUCCCGAGAUUUGCCGCUGCUUCCUUGCUUGAGGAAUCAAGCCUGAGCGGUGAGAGAUCAAGAGGGAGGGACGGAGCGAGAGACGCAAGAGGAAAGGGAGCCAGCCCCUCGCGCCCGGCAUUCAAUUGGAGCCAACAGUAGGCGGGUGGGGCGGCUGCUACAGCACGUCGGACUCCAUAAAUUAGCUCCCCGCUUUCCGGCCCCCUUUUCGCCCCGUGUCUCCCCCGAUCGGCCCGUCGACGACGCGGACGCCCGCCGGAGCAUGCGCGCCGCGGGCCUCGGCCGCCGCAGCGCCGCCGCCGGCGUCCGGAAGAUGUAGCUCCGCGACCCGCGAGGAGAGGGCGAGGGGGAUGACCGUUACGGCGCGCGGGAGGAGCGGCGGGGCCGGGAUGGAGGAGAAGGGCGACGCGCCCGGGCUCGGCUUCCUGGGCCUCGACCGGAUGCGCGUCCUCCUGCCGCCGCUCCGCCUGCCGGAGAAGCUGUCGGCCAGGGCGCUGCGGACGCACCUCUUCACCAACUACCGGAUGCGCAAGGUGCGGGACAGCUCCAGCUGGCUCAUCCCGCUCUGGGUCCUCUUCUGGGUGCUCCUCGCCUCCGUCAUCUGCCUCUGGAUGAGCAACCAGGCCGUCGCCAAGCGCCGGGAGUCGCUCGCCAGCAUGUGCGACGAGCGCGCGCGCAUGCUCCAGGACCAGUUCAACGUCAGCGUGAACCACCUCCAGGCGCUCGCUAUCCUCGUCUCCACCUUCCACCACUCCAAGACACCCUCCGCCAUCGACCAGACCACGUUCGCAAGGUACGCGGAGAGGACGGCGUUCGAGCGGCCGCUCACGAGCGGGGUCGCGUACGGGGUGCGGGUCACGCACGCCGAGCGGGAGCAGUUCGAGCGCCAGCAGGGAUGGAGCAUCAAGAAGAUGUACUCCUCCAAGACCAAGAAGCAGUCGCAGGGACCAGGGAACGCUGAGGACGCCGAGGUGCGGGAGCCGGCGGAGGAGUAUGCUCCCGUAAUCUUCGCGCAGGACGCAUACAAGCAUGUCAUCUCCUUCGACUUGCUAUCCGGCGCCGAUGACCGCGACAACGUACUCCGAGCUAGAGAAUCUGGGAAGGGUGUUCUUACUGCUCCUUUUAAGCUGCUCAAUAAUCGCCUUGGAGUGAUCUCCACCUACGCUGUGUACAAGUAUGAGCUUCCCCCAAAUGCCAGGCCACAGGAGCGCAUUCAGGCUGCUAUAGGCUACUUAGGUGGCAUAUUUGACAUUGAAGCGCUUGUUGACAAGUUGCUUCACCAGCUCGCGGGCAAGCAAUCCAUCAUGGUGAACGUUUACGAUACUACUAAUGAUAGACGGAUCAGUAUGUAUGGUUCGAAUGAUACAGGCAGUGGCAUGUGCCAAGUCAGCACACUGAACUUUGGUGACCCGUCAAGGAAGCAUGAAAUGCACUGCAGGUUCAUUCAGAGUCCACCUUGGCCUUGGAUGGCAAUAACGACAUCAAUUGGAACUCUUGUGAUUGCUUUACUGAUUGGAUACAUAAUUUAUGCUACUGCAAAACGGAUUGCCAGAGUUGAAGAUGACUUUCAGGAGAUGAGUGUGCUCAAAAAGCGUGCAGAGGAUGCAGAUAUUGCCAAGUCACAGUUCUUGGCUACUGUUUCUCAUGAGAUCAGAACUCCAAUGAAUGGUGUUCUAGGGAUGCUCCAAAUGCUCAUGGAUACUGAUUUGGACACAACACAACAAGACUAUGUUAGAACCGCACAAGCCAGUGGCAAAGCUUUGGUAUCUCUCAUCAAUGAAGUACUUGAUCAGGCCAAGAUCGAGUCUGGUAAACUUGAGCUUGAAGCGGUGCCCUUUGACCUUAGAACAGUUUGUGAUGACAUUUUGUCUCUCUUCUGUGGGAAAGCUCAGGAGAAAGGACUGGAGCUGGCAGUGUUUGUUUCUGACCAAGUUCCACAAGCACUAAUUGGCGAUCCUGGCAGAAUAAGGCAAAUCAUUACAAAUCUUGUCGGGAACUCUAUAAAAUUCACAGAGAAGGGUCAUAUCUACUUGACAGUUCAUGUUGUUGAAGAGAUUAUGAAUUGUCUUGAGGUUGAGACGGGAACUCAGUCCGCCAAUACCUUAAGUGGCUACCCAGUGGCGAACAGAAAGCGCAGUUGGGAAAACUUUCGAGUCUUUAGCAGGGAACUGAACUCAUCUGAGAUGCCUUUUGCACCCAUCGCAUCAGACUCAAUAAGCUUGAUAAUAUCAGUUGAAGAUACGGGUGUUGGAAUCCCGUUCGAUGCUCAGUCCCGUGUCUUCACCCCUUUCAUGCAAGUAGGUCCAUCCAUUGCUCGCAUCCAUGGGGGCACUGGCAUUGGAUUAAGCAUCAGCAAAUGCUUGGUUGGACUCAUGAGGGGAGAGAUUGGAUUUGCAAGUAAACCCCAAGUUGGUUCUACUUUCACCUUCACUGCGGUUCUUACGAGGGCCCAUUCCAGCAGAAAUGAGAAUAAAUCGUCAGAAUUUAAAGGGAUCAAUGCAUUGGUGGUAGAUCAUAGGCCGGUCCGUGCCAAGGUUACUAGGUACCAUUUACAGAGACUGGGAGUUCAGACCGAAUUGACAACUGACCUAGAUCAAUAUAUUUCUAAAAUUAAUUGCGGAUCACAAAUUGCAAAGCUUGUGCUCAUUGACAAAGAAACCUGGCUGAAGGAAUCCCACUCUAUGCCUCUUUUGGUUACUAAAUUGAGGAACAAAGAUCAGCCAGACUCUACAAAGUUAUUUCUUUUGGAGAACCCUAAAAGUACUGCCAAAAGCAAUUCACAUAUAUUCAGGGAAUUUAACUUGAAUGUAAUUAUGAAGCCACUUCGAGCAAGCAUGCUUCAGGUUUCGCUACACAGAGCAUUGGGUGGGAUAGAUAAACUGCACUGCAGGAAUGGAGUACUUGGCAAUUCAACACUGGGCAGCCUUCUUCACAAGAAACGAAUCUUAGUGGUUGACGACAAUAUUGUAAAUCUCAAGGUUGCUGCAGGCGCUCUGAAGAAAUAUGGCGCAGAAGUAACUUGUGCUGAUAGCGGGAAGAAAGCAAUCACGCAACUGAAACCUCCUCACAGUUUUGAUGCUUGUUUCAUGGACAUACAGAUGCCUGAAAUGGAUGGAUUUGAAGCCACAAAAAGGAUUAGAGUGAUGGAAAGAGAUCUAAAUGAGCAAAUAGAACGUGGAGAAGCCCCACCGGAAUGCGCAGGGCUCCGGCAGUGGCGAACUCCAAUAUUAGCCAUGACAGCAGAUGUUAUCCAGGCGACGCACGAACAGUGCUUAAAAUCUGAAAUGGACGGUUAUGUAUCCAAGCCAUUCGAGGGCGAGCAAUUGUACAGAGAAGUAGCUCGCUUUUUCCAAAAUCAAGACCAAGUUCAGUAGGUAGGCUUAUAUGGAGGAGUGUAAAGUAGUGGAGGAUAUCGCCAACGGUUCACCCGUCGAGGCCGAAAGAAUUUUGUCAAAGAUCUCAUCUUCUUGAAAGUGGGCAUCAAUUCGCAAAGUUAGAGGGCCCCUAUUAAAACACUAGAAAUGCUGGGAUGUGGCCGCCAGUUAGGUGGAAACGAUUUAGGCUGGAGAUGGAACCACCCAUGUUCGGAUGCUUGGUACAUCUGACCAAUCUGCAAAGCUAAAUGCGCAAUGUCUUGAAAUCAACAUGCACGUGCAGCUAUUCAUUCGACGAUUUGCUGAGGUCAAGGCGUGUGAAAAAAAAUCAGCUGCAUUCACUAACUGCAGGUGCCCUCUGCCACUAUAUAAUAUAUAAGACUAGGGGGAGAAGUUUUCCUUCCCCCGGAAGGCACGGCUGUACAUAUUAUAUUAGGGAUUGGUUGGUUGUUUGUGCAGGCAUUUUUGUAUGCAUCAUAUUCGGCCUGUAUGGGUCGAAGCUGUAAAGUGUAAAUGACACAUUCAAAGAUGGAAGUUUUGUUUGAC
This is an RNA transcript of Zea mays, 4346 nucleotides long. It is a transcript of the gene named Putative histidine kinase family protein, with no coding region annotated. The transcript has 12 exons. NCBI's taxonomy places the organism in Eukaryota, Viridiplantae, Streptophyta, Magnoliopsida, Poales, Poaceae. The record is from RefSeq and is marked validated.